GGGGUUGUCUAGUUUCGACAAGUUGUAGUUUAAAAAUAUGCAAGCUGACCAUUAUGGUUGCGUCAUGAAACCGUCCAUAAACGAUAUAAGUGCAAACUUCUUAUCAAAAGUAAAGGCGACUUUCGCAAGUUCGUUCGCUUUUGCUCCUGCUUUAGCUUAACUGUCUGAAGCCAUCGGCCUGCCAAUGCUCAAUAGACAGCUGCCGGUGUCAAUCAUUGAGCUGGUUGUUUGCGGUUCCCUGCUGUAAACAAUAAGAAUUGCCAGGGAAAGAUGACCGAUCUUUUGUUUAUUUUGAUUCGGUCAUUCUCAACAAAUAAACUAAGCUUGUAGAAUAUUUUUAAAUAACGAUUUUGGACAUGGGUGCAAUUCCCAUCAACUCCACCG
This 384-nucleotide transfer-messenger RNA is filed under the name Patescibacteria group bacterium. It matches the Rfam family "transfer-messenger RNA". From Rfam's summary of the family: Bacterial tmRNA, also known as 10Sa RNA or SsrA, is named for its dual tRNA and mRNA-like properties. Its role is to liberate the mRNA from a stalled ribosome. RNAcentral also lists the same sequence under 1 other name. The record is from RNAcentral.